AGAGUUUGAUCAUGGCUCAGGACGAACGCUGGCGGCGUGCUUAACACAUGCAAGUGGAGCGACGAACCAGGGCUUGCCCUGGGGCAAAGCCGCGAACGGGUGAGUAACACGUGGGUUACCUGCCUCGAUGACCGGGACAACCCGAGGAAACUCGGGCUAAUACCGGAUGUGACCGCAAGGGGAAAGGAAGCUUCGGCCUCCGCAUCGAGAUGGGCCCGCGGCCCAUUAGCUUGUUGGUGAGGUAACGGCUCACCAAGGCGACGAUGGGUAGCUGGUCUGAGAGGACGAUCAGCCACACUGGGACUGAGGCACGGCCCAGACUCCUACGGGAGGCAGCAGUGGGGAAUCUUGCGCAAUGCGCGAAAGCGUGACGCAGCAACGCCGCGUGGGGGAAGAAGGCUUUCGGGUUGUAAACCCCUUUCAGUUGGGACGAAGCUUCGCCGGUGAAUAGCCGGCCGGAGUGACGGUACCUUCACAAGAAGCACCGGCUAACUACGUGCCAGCAGCCGCGGUAAUACGUAGGGUGCAAGCGUUGUUCGGAAUUAUUGGGCGUAAAGAGCGUGUAGGCGGCUCGAUUAGUCCGCUGUGAAAGUCCAGGGCUCAACCCUGGAAUGCCGGUGGAUACUGUCGAGCUAGAGUCCGGAAGGGGCGAGUGGAAUUCCUGGUGUAGCGGUGAAAUGCGCAGAUAUCAGGAGGAACACCAAUGGCGAAGGCAGCUCGCUGGGACGUGACUGACGCUGAGACGCGAAAGCGUGGGGAGCAAACAGGAUUAGAUACCCUAGUAGUCC
RNAcentral lists this ribosomal RNA (788 nucleotides) under uncultured bacterium. Its description in RNAcentral is "bacterial SSU rRNA". It matches the Rfam family "Bacterial small subunit ribosomal RNA", at positions 8 to 796 of the family's 1533-position model. The record is from RNAcentral.